Molecule: long non-coding RNA, 615 nt
Organism: Canis lupus familiaris (dog)
Lineage: Eukaryota; Metazoa; Chordata; Mammalia; Carnivora; Canidae
Exons: 3
Source: RefSeq, a predicted model, not a curated record
AAGGAACAGUUCCAUGAGUUUUCACAGGCCAGCAGUGUGUCUCCUACACUUGACCUAGACAGCCUUACAUAACGAAGCGUCGGGGCUGGGGAGCUCGCUGAAUGUCAUCACCAGCAAGAGUAAGAAGUAUUGGCAGCAGCAGGCAGGCGGGCAGGCUGGGAGUUUGCAUGGGAAGCAUGAAAUCUUGUCUUCUCUUUUGAAAUGUUUUGGAAGGAGAGUUAAGAAUAGCUCGGAAACUGGUCGUGUUGUUUUUGUGGGAAGAAUGACCAGAAGCAUAAAAGCUAAAUUUUCCAGCAAGUGCAAGACACUGCUUUCGGUGUUUGCCAUAAACCUAAGAGAGCGAACCGCUGUCUGUAAAGUACUGUGCCAUGACACCUAAGAUGAAGGGGAUGGUAAAGCAAAGUAAUGACUCAAAGGCUGCCACCGAGAGCUUUUGUCUACCUUUAACUCAUUGUGGUUUUAUUUUCAUUAAGAAAACAGCUAAACACAAGAAGAAAAACGAGAAAGGCUUAAAUGAGAAGUGUCCAAACACUGUGUGGAUACAUGACAAACAUGGAAUGAAUGAAUAUGAAACUCAAAGCUGAGAACAAAAUGCUUUUCCGGACCUUCUCUGCU